ACUGGAGGACCGAACCGACUAAUGUUGAAAAAUUAGCGGAUGACCUGUGGCUGGGGGUGAAAGGCCAAUCAAACCGGGAGAUAGCUGGUUCUCCCCGAAAGCUAUUUAGGUAGCGCCUCGUGAAUUCAUCUCCGGGGGUAGAGCACUGUUUCGGCUAGGGGGCCAUCCCGGCUUACCAACCCGAUGCAAACUGCGAAUACCGGAGAAUGUUAUCACGGGAGACACACGGCGGGUGCUAACGUCCGUCGUGAAGAGGGAAACAACCCAGACCGCCAGCUAAGGUCCCAAAGUCAUGGUUAAGUGGGAAACGAUGUGGGAAGGCCCAGACAGCCAGGAUGUUGGCUUAGAAGCAGCCAUCAUUUAAAGAAAGCGUAAUAGCUCACUGGUCGAGUCGGCCUGCGCGGAAGAUGUAACGGGGCUAAACCAUGCAC
This 431-nucleotide ribosomal RNA is filed under the name Salmonella enterica subsp. enterica serovar Enteritidis. RNAcentral's name for it is "partial 23S ribosomal RNA". It matches the Rfam family "Bacterial large subunit ribosomal RNA", at positions 765 to 1194 of the family's 2925-position model. The record is from RNAcentral. Lineage: Bacteria; Pseudomonadati; Pseudomonadota; Gammaproteobacteria; Enterobacterales; Enterobacteriaceae.